Molecule: ribosomal RNA, 407 nt
Filed under: uncultured bacterium
Lineage: Bacteria
Description: partial 16S ribosomal RNA
Rfam family: Bacterial small subunit ribosomal RNA
Source: RNAcentral
GACGAACGCUGGCGGCGCGCUUAACACAUGCAAGUCGAGCGAAGCGGCGGAAGGGUUAGUAACACGUGAGUAACCUGCCUUAGACAUUGGGACAGCCUCGGGAAACCGGGUUUAAUACCAAAUGGUCUAAGAUGGACUCGCGUCCCAUUAGCUAGUUGGUGAGGUAACGGCCCACCAAGGCGACGAUGGGUAGCCGGCAUGAGAGGGUGAACGGCCACAUUGGAACUGAGAAACGGGCCAAACUCUACGGGAUGCAGCAGUGGGUAAUAUUGCAAAAGGGAGGGAAGUCUGAAGCAGCGAGGCUGGGUGAACGAAGAAGGCUUUCGAGUAGUAAAGUUCGUUUAUAUGGGAAGCGGUACCAUAAGAAAAAGCCCCGGCUAACUACGUGCCAGCAGCCGCGGUAAUAC